AAUCAACAUCAAUUCCCAAUCAUCAGAUGCAUCAUCAAUAAUUUUCUCAAGCUUGAUAUUCAAAUUAAAGAGAUAAAAGAUAGCAAGAACAAACAGAUUAGCUUGAAUGAUUACAACUCUAAGAUAAACACAACAAAAACUCAAUUUCAAGCAAAAAUCAAAUAUAAAACCCAAUGUAGAGUGUUCGGCUAUGAUGUAUUAAUGUCAGAUUUGAAUGAAAAAUCAUUAAGGAAAUAAGAAAUAUUCAGCCAAACACAUGAAAAAUUCGGAAGAUUUGAAACUACUACAAAAAACCCUAGAAAAAUCAAUUUAGCCGAAUGCUAUUGUGAUGAAAAACAAACAAAACGUGAAUGAAGGAUUCUAGGAAGAAGUUAAAAGAGUAGAUCUAAAGAUAAAUACCUUAUUUGAUGCCCAAUUGCCCUGAUACCAAAUCAUGAACACCUCCAAUAUUCAGAUUAGAGACAUAACAUAUAAAGAUAGAAUUAUAUUUUUUAAUAAGAAACAAGGCAGAAUUGAUAACCAAUUAAGACACAAUAGUAGUUAGGAUAGAGCACCUUGAUUAUAAAGAUA
RNAcentral lists this unclassified non-coding RNA (570 nucleotides) under Hevea brasiliensis (rubber tree). The record is from RNAcentral. Lineage: Eukaryota; Viridiplantae; Streptophyta; Magnoliopsida; Malpighiales; Euphorbiaceae.